GCGCCUGUAGCUCAGCGGAUAGAGCGCCAGCCUCCGGAGCUGGAUGCGGGGGUUCGAGUCCCUCCAGGCGUA
RNAcentral lists this transfer RNA (72 nucleotides) under Chloroflexia bacterium. RNAcentral describes it as "tRNA-Arg". It matches the Rfam family "tRNA". From Rfam's summary of the family: Transfer RNA (tRNA) molecules are approximately 80 nucleotides in length. Their secondary structure includes four short double-helical elements and three loops (D, anti-codon, and T loops). The record is from RNAcentral. Lineage: Bacteria; Bacillati; Chloroflexota; Chloroflexia. RNAcentral also lists the same sequence under 1 other name.